Long non-coding RNA from Mauremys mutica (yellowpond turtle), 268 nucleotides. RefSeq lists it as uncharacterized. The record is from RefSeq and is a predicted model, not a curated record. NCBI's taxonomy places the organism in Eukaryota, Metazoa, Chordata, Testudines, Geoemydidae. The transcript is spliced from 3 exons.
AGCAAAUGCAAUACGUGCCGGGGCUGUGUUUCAGAACUUGUGCAAAUUCCUGAUGUUGCAACAAGUACUCACACACACCGUCUUAUCAAAGGUGGAGACUGGAGCCUAUAGAAAUACUGCAUCUUCAUUUAUCUGGUGAUUGUAAAUACUGGAGAGACAGUAUGGUGCCUGGAUCAACGAACAACGACGGUCUUAAGAGACAGACACCAGAGAAUGGCAUCACCUCUAUCAUGCAUCCAGUUACUCCAAAGUCCAGGUCACUCUUAGG